Long non-coding RNA from Cyprinus carpio (common carp), 509 nucleotides. RefSeq lists it as uncharacterized. The record is from RefSeq and is a predicted model, not a curated record. Lineage: Eukaryota; Metazoa; Chordata; Actinopteri; Cypriniformes; Cyprinidae. The transcript has 3 exons.
GGUGCAAGCGGGUUUGUCAUUCAGUCUGACUUCCAACUUGCAGAUCCUGCUGAUUAUUUUGGUCUUAAAAAUUUUUCACGUUAACAGCACAUAUUUCAGCUCAACUGCAACACACAGUCCUAUAAAGUGCUGGAAACGAGUGUCCCGCGACUCACCUAAUAAGAGAUGUGUUGUGAUUGUAAAGCAGAGCUCUGGACGUGUGGACAGACAGUGACUGUAAUGAUGGACAUCUGGUCAUGAACAGUCUGGACAAAAUCAUAACCGCUGCUGGUCACGGUGCCGGAAGCUCCAGGGGGAGAGUGUACUGGUAUCCCCCUUCUUCAGGCGCACCUUCACACACACUCCAGCAUUCACUUAUAUCGCAGAGACCUGGCUGGGAUUGAACCAGCAACCUCUGAACCCGUGAGGCAGCGCUCUUACCUGUGAGCCACAGGUCUCUUGGUGGAGUGUGUGAAGUAACUUAUAUUUGACUGUUGACCUGUGUGUUCCCAAUAAAGAUGUUAAAGAAA